CAGUCGCCGCGGUAAUACAGAGGGUGCGAGCGUUAAUCGGAUUUACUGGGCGUAAAGCGUGCGUAGGCGGCUUUUUAAGUCGGAUGUGAAAUCCCUGAGCUUAACUUAGGAAUUGCAUUCGAUACUGGGAAGCUAGAGUAUGGGAGAGGAUGGUAGAAUUCCAGGUGUAGCGGUGAAAUGCGUAGAGAUCUGGAGGAAUACCGAUGGCGAAGGCAGCCAUCUGGCCUAACACUGACGCUGAGGUACGAAAGCAUGGGGAGCAAACAGGAUUAGAUACCCCAGUAGUCCCUGUCUCUUAUAC
Molecule: ribosomal RNA, 301 nt
Filed under: uncultured bacterium
Lineage: Bacteria
Description: partial 16S ribosomal RNA
Rfam family: Bacterial small subunit ribosomal RNA
Source: RNAcentral